GGUGAGUAAUGCUUAGGAAUCUGCCCAGUAGUGGGGGACAACAGUCGGAAACGGCUGCUAAUACCGCAUACGCCCUACGGGGGAAAGCAGGGGAUCUUCGGACCUUGCGCUAUUGGAUGAGCCUAAGUCGGAUUAGCUAGUUGGUAGGGUAAAGGCCUACCAAGGCGACGAUCCGUAGCUGGUCUGAGAGGAUGAUCAGCCACAUCGGGACUGAGACACGGCCCGAACUCCUACGGGAGGCAGCAGUGGGGAAUAUUGGACAAUGGGGGCAACCCUGAUCCAGCCAUGCCGCGUGUGAAGAAGGCUUUCGGGUUGUAAAGCACUUUCAGCGAGGAGGAAGGCCUUAAAGUUAAUACCUUUAGGGAUUGACGUUACUCGCAGAAGAAGCACCGGCUAACUCCGUGCCAGCAGCCGCGGUAAUACGGAGGGUGCAAGCGUUAAUCGGAAUUACUGGGCGUAAAGCGCGCGUAGGUGGUUUGGUAAGCGAGAUGUGAAAGCCCCGGGCUUAACCUGGGAACGGCAUUUCGAACUGUCAGACUAGAGUGUGGUAGAGGGUAGUGGAAUUUCCUGUGUAGCGGUGAAUGCGUA
This 588-nucleotide ribosomal RNA is filed under the name uncultured bacterium. RNAcentral's name for it is "bacterial SSU rRNA". It matches the Rfam family "Bacterial small subunit ribosomal RNA", at positions 105 to 692 of the family's 1533-position model. The record is from RNAcentral.